RNAcentral lists this ribosomal RNA (440 nucleotides) under uncultured bacterium. RNAcentral describes it as "partial 16S ribosomal RNA". It matches the Rfam family "Bacterial small subunit ribosomal RNA", at positions 338 to 795 of the family's 1533-position model. The record is from RNAcentral.
CCUACGGGUGGCAGCAGUGGGGGAUAUUGCACAAUGGGGGAAACCCUGAUGCAGCGACGCCGCGUGAGUGAAGAAGUAUUUCGGUAUGUAAAGCUCUAUCAGCAGGGAAGAAAAUGACGGUACCUGAUUAAGAAGCCCCGGCUAACUACGUGCCAGCAGCCGCGGUAAUACGUAGGGGGCAAGCGUUAUCCGGAUUUACUGGGUGUAAAGGGAGCGUAGAUGGCAGCAUAAGUCUGGUGUGAAAUGCCGGGGCUUAACCCCUGAACUGCAUUGGAAACUGUGAAGCUUGAGUGCAGGAGAGGUAAGUGGAAUUCGUAGUGUAGCGGUGAAAUGCGUAGAUAUUACGAGGAACACCAGUGGCGAAGGCGGCUUACUGGACUGCAACUGACGUUGAGGCUCGAAAGUGUGGGGAGCAAACAGGAUUAGAUACCCGAGUAGUC